UAUUAAAAGUCGCGACAAUGACUUCACCCGCCGUCCCCCCUAAAUCCCUCACCCGUGCGAAAACAUAGUGAAAUAUUAAGUUAUUUCACUUUUUAUGUUAUUCUUCUUUCUCUUCUUUUUCGGUUAUCUCUCUCGUUCUUUCUUCACCCACCCACAAAUGUCAUAAUAAACGAUUAGUUUGUACCCUAACUCGCAUCAAUUGAACAAUUAAUUUUAUUUUAGGAUUUUGAGCUCUGUUAUUUAGGGUUUUGAGCUCUGUUGUUUUGAGCUCUGUUGGUUUACGAUUCUGAAAUGUCAUGAUCCUUUGUUGAGAGAUAAAGGGGUGAGUUAUAUGGAAAAAGAAGGGGAUUUUAUUGUUUCUAUGGGAGUGCGCUGAGGAUAAAGGACGCACUUGCUUUGCAUAUGAGUAGAGUGAGCAUCAAAAGAGGAAUGCUUAUUGUGUUACAUGUUGUCAUGUUAUAGGUUCUUUACUCUACCAUAGGGAGAUUUAGUUCCAGUUUUCUAAAAAAUUUAAGGUUACACCAAUAAGACAGACAAAGCUUGUUAAUGUAAAAUUUCAGUAUGAAAAUAACUGAUUGUUCUAGAAAAAAAGUUUGUCAAAGAGUUACAGGAUCAACAUGAUUAUCAAAGUGCAAUUUGUCCCUUGA
Molecule: long non-coding RNA, 647 nt
Organism: Lathyrus oleraceus (garden pea)
Lineage: Eukaryota; Viridiplantae; Streptophyta; Magnoliopsida; Fabales; Fabaceae
Exons: 2
Source: RefSeq, a predicted model, not a curated record